AAAUCAGUUAUCGUUUAUUUGAUAGUACCUUACUACUUGGAUAACCGUGGUAAUUCUAGAGCUAAUACAUGCUGAAAACCCUGACUUCGGAAAGGGUGUAUUUAUUAGAUAAAAAACCAAUGCCCUUUGGGCUCUUUGGUGAUUCAUGAUAACUUAACGGAUCGCAUGGCCUUGCGCCGGCGACGGUUCAUUCAAAUUUCUGCCCUAUCAACUUUCGAUGGUAAGGUAUUGGCUUACCAUGGUUUCAACGGGUAACGGGGAAUUAGGGUUCGAUUCCGGAGAGGGAGCCUGAGAAACGGCUACCACAUCCAAGGAAGGCAGCAGGCGCGCAAAUUACCCAAUCCCGACACGGGGAGGUAGUGACAAUAAAUACUGAUACAGGGCUCUUUUGGGUCUUGUAAUCGGAAUGAGUACAAUUUAAACCUCUUAACGAGGAACAAUUGGAGGGCAAGUCUGGUGCCAGCAGCCGCGGUAAUUCCAGCUCCAAUAGCGUAUAUUAAAGUUGUUGCAGUUAAAAAGCUCGUAGUUGAAUCUUGGGCCUGGCUGGCCGGUCCGCCUCACCGCGUGUACUGGUCUGGCCGGGCCUUUCCUUCUGGAGAACCUCAUGCCCUUCAGUGGGUGUGUUGGGGAACCAGGACUUUUACUUUGAAAAAAUUAGAGUGUUCAAAGCAGGCCUUUGCUCGAAUACGUUAGCAUGGAAUAAUAGAAUAGGACGUGCGGUCCUAUUUUGUUGGUUUCUAGGACCGCCGUAAUGAUUAAUAGGGAUAGUCGGGGGCAUCAGUAUUCAAUUGUCAGAGGUGAAAUUCUUGGAUUUAUUGAAGACUAACUACUGCGAAAGCAUUUGCCAAGGAUGUUUUCAUUAAUCAGUGAACGAAAGUUAGGGGAUCGAAGACGAUCAGAUACCGUCGUAGUCUUAACCGUAAACUAUGCCGACUAGGGAUCGGGCGAUGUUUCUAUCUUGACUCGCUCGGCACCUUACGAGAAAUCAAAGUUUUUGG
This 998-nucleotide ribosomal RNA is filed under the name Lophiostoma clematidis-vitalbae. RNAcentral describes it as "SSU rRNA". It matches the Rfam family "Eukaryotic small subunit ribosomal RNA", at positions 103 to 1110 of the family's 1831-position model. The record is from RNAcentral. Lineage: Eukaryota; Fungi; Ascomycota; Dothideomycetes; Pleosporales; Lophiostomataceae.